Molecule: long non-coding RNA, 2819 nt
Organism: Rana temporaria (common frog)
Lineage: Eukaryota; Metazoa; Chordata; Amphibia; Anura; Ranidae
Exons: 5
Source: RefSeq, a predicted model, not a curated record
AGUAAACACAGUUGAUAAUAAAUGGUUUCAGCCAAAUACUAACCAUGAGUGAAAAAAAAGUGUGUUAUUUUUCUUAGUCUCUUAAAAACGGCCAAGUCGUCAUCAAUUCUGCCAGGGUAUGUAAACCUAUGAGCACAACUGUAUAUAUUGUUAUAUGCAUACGACAACCAAUAUUAAUGAGAUUUAGCCUCGUUUUUGCAUGAGGUUGUUUUAUUUUAUUUCAUCUUAGUACUGUAAAUCAGUUAGAGACUCCAGUAACAUGGCCACAACUUCCCCUCCUGUCAGUUUCACUGACAACACAGCCUCUGUCCAUCUGUGAUCAGCUUGCUUUGAUUGCUGUGUGUAUUGUUACACAUACUUCUCUGAGCCUACUUGUCCACUGAUGGGGUUAAAUUUUCUCCCCGCCGUGUUGACUCAGUAAGCUCCUUGUUUGAUUCAUCCCACCUGUCAUCCUAUCAAGCUUCUCCACGCUGCUAUUCGGGUCUAUUGCGCGCAGUGCUUUGGGGGUUAAUUAUCAGCUGUGUUUGGCCCACCCGAUAUCAUGUGAUGUUCACACGUCACAUAUCGAGUUAGGACAGGCUAUUUAAACGGCGUCUUGCUGUACACUUUGUGCAGAGCGCCGCAGGAUCAUAUGUUCAGUGAGCACUCAUGUUCCUAAUGCUGUGCAGUUCCUUUCUUGGACAAAGCAGCCGAUUCCCUUUGGCUCUAUAUACACCAAGCUUACUGUGAUUUUGCAACACUACCUUCGAUCCUUAUACAGAUCUUAUACAGUUAUUUUGUGAAAUCCACAUGAUUCCUCCUUUGAACUGAACACUGCAGCUUAAUUGCUCAUUGAUGCCCCUGGUCAUGAAUUCCUUAAACCGUUAUUUAUGAUUACGCACAUGACCAUUUGCACCUUGGCGGGAUUCUGUGUUUGUCGCUGGCUGUGGGCAACUCGUGGUUGUAUAUUUUGACUGGAUAUCGCUCCCUCCCCUGAAGAAGCGGAAGUCCGCGAAACAUGUAGGGUCCAUGCGAUUUCCUUUUCCAGUUGCAUCUGCAUUUUCAACUGACUGAUGCGUUGUUAUCCACUGAAUGCAAUCAACAAACUGGUUGUCCACCUUCUUUUAAAUUAUUGUAUUGUAUUUUUUGGAUCUUUUUGUAUAUAUGAAUAAAAUAUUUUUGUAUAUUUUGAAACAAGGAAUUUGCGCUUUCUCAUUACAAUCAAUCUGUUAAAAUACGCACCGUAAAUUAUCCCCUCUCCUUUCCUAUUGGAAAAAACUUUAUCUAUCUAAUUGGGAUUAGGUGCCUUUCCUUGGGUGAAUCUAUACAUUCUGGACCAUAUUUACAAUGGCCACAACUUGUUUAUAUCAAUGCUGGACUCUGGAAAUAUGGCCGCCAUAAGGUUUCUGAUAUAGAUAAUGCAGCGCCCUUUAGUGUUCGUCUCGUAUGAGGUUACAUAAACCUGCCUGUGUGAGCACCGCUAUUCCAAUUGCCCCAGGGACAACGUCUUAUACGACGAAGCAUAGGUCGGGCAGACGUCGGUAUGCCCGAAAGGGGUGCCAGCCACUGUUUUUACAGAAUGAUUGUAAUCUUACUGUUACUUGUACCAUGUUCCAUACAUGCCUGUGAGAAUAUCAUCAAGUUACAUUACUGUGGAGAAGAGGAGAUGCAUUCAAGUGGUAGAGCUCAAUAUUUGAUUUGCCUGCUGAGAGUCAUUCCUUUGUGGAUAUUUAUCCAUUGAUGUGUUUCUGACCUUAUUCUUACCUGUGGGAGUGGAGCACAUUUCGGGUGAAAUAGCAUGGAGAUCAUUAUGGAUUUUAAGUGGAACUUCACGUUUUCCUUCUAUGGACAUUGGGACUGUUCUCAUGUUAUCAUUUGUGGCACACUGCACUUUAUAUGAUUUAAAUGAGCGUUUUUUUAAGCACUUUAUAUCUACAUGAAUUAUACUACUACUGUUUUUAGCAAUGUAUUCUAUUAUGCACAUAUAGACAGCGCAGCAUUUUUCUUUAUAGUGUUUUGUAAAUAUUGGUGUGCAUCUGUCACACAUACUGAUUACCAUAUUUUUCUCACUAUAAGACACACUUUUUCAUCCUCAAAAAAUAGGGGUAAGUGUCCCUGCGUCUUAUGGAGUGAAUACUGCAAGGCCCGGCCCCCAUCGCUGCCGCCGUGUCAGAAUACAGACACUCGGCUUCUCUGUGUAAAAGAGAGAGGACAGGAUGUGAGGCAGGGGCAUACCAAGUGGAGCGGGGGAGGCGGACUGCCCCAGAUGCCAAAACAUGGGGGGUGUCAGUGGCGUUGCUAUAAUGGUGCGCUGCGCACCCAGGUGAGUUGACACCCGCAAGAUGUGACACCAUCCUGCAAGUGACAAGAGCCCUGGCUGGCUUUUUGCUUUCAGCUGGAACACCCCCGGCGCUGUGGUCUAUUCCAGUAUCACUUCCUGCCUCUCUCCACUGGCCGCUGCUGCUGCAAAAUAUGUCCUCAGUACUCCUUAGCUGCUGCCUGGGUGUAUCUGACGCUGAGAGACAGCCAGAGGGGAUGUGCAUUGUAAUGGCAGUGUCCUCCACUGCGUGAGGUGAGCUGGUGAUAAGGGGGAUGGGAGGUGUGGGCUUGCAUGGUAUCCACUGUUUAUCACCUGAGCUGUUGUAAUAAAAGAGGCUGAAGGGGUGUCUGUGUCUGCCCUGCCACCCUGAGCUAAUCUGGGAAGGGGGGGGGGGGGUUGCUGUGUGUCCACCACCCAGGUAUAGUGUAGCGGAGCUGAUUUGAUAGGGGAGCUGGUAUUACUGUGUCCACCACCCACCUAUAGUAGUAAUAUAAUAUUAAAUAUUUUAGUACAUCAUUUG